RNAcentral lists this long non-coding RNA (397 nucleotides) under Hordeum vulgare. RNAcentral's name for it is "long non-coding RNA (HVUL_LNC010955)". The record is from RNAcentral. Lineage: Eukaryota; Viridiplantae; Streptophyta; Magnoliopsida; Poales; Poaceae.
GGCUCCAAAAAAAUAAUAAUAAAAAAAGCGCUGAAGAGGAGCUCCCCUCACUCCCUCAUCAGCGGCACGUCAGGUCAGACGGUGAGAGGAGCCGGUUCCUUCGCCGUACCUUUUCUUUCCUCUUCCCCUCGCCAGUCCCGACUCCCGACUCCUGACCUACCAAUCUCGACCUACAUCACUACAGCUAGCGUGCGUCUUCCACCGCGUGGCCGCGUGGCCUACAACAAGCCGCCGCCGCCGUGCCGUGCCGUGCCCAUACCCCACGGCCGCCGGCUGACGCUGACGCCCCCCCUCAAACCUCUCCACCUUCGCCGUUCCCGUUCAUGUUCAUAGCGUCCCUGUCCCUGCUUGUCCCUCCCCCGCCCGCAAGCCGCAACCUUUGGCCACUGGAUUUAAA